CAAGUCGAGCGGUAACAGAUCUAGCUUGCUAGAUGCUGACGAGCGGCGGACGGGUGAGUAAUGCAUAGGAAUCUGCCCGAUAGUGGGGGAUAACCUGGGGAAACCCAGGCUAAUACCGCAUACGUCCUACGGGAGAAAGGGGGCUUCGGCUCCCGCUAUUGGAUGAGCCUAUGUCGGAUUAGCUAGUUGGUAAGGUAAUGGCUUACCAAGGCAACGAUCCGUAGCUGGUCUGAGAGGAUGAUCAGCCACAUCGGGACUGAGACACGGCCCGAACUCCUACGGGAGGCAGCAGUGGGGAAUAUUGGACAAUGGGGGCAACCCUGAUCCAGCCAUGCCGCGUGUGUGAAGAAGGCCCUCGGGUUGUAAAGCACUUUCAGCGAGGAAGAACGCCUGGCGGUUAAUACCCGCUAGGAAAGACAUCACUCGCAGAAGAAGCACCGGCUAACUCCGUGCCAGCAGCCGCGGUAAUACGGAGGGUGCAAGCGUUAAUCGGAAUUACUGGGCGUAAAGCGCGCGUAGGUGGCUUGAUAAGCCGGUUGUGAAAGCCCCGGGCUCAACCUGGGAACGGCAUCCGGAACUGUCAGGCUAGAGUGCAGGAGAGGAAGGUAGAAUUCCCGGUGUAGCGGUGAAAUGCGUAGAGAUCGGGAGGAAUACCAGUGGCGAAGGCGGCCUUCUGGACUGACACUGACACUGAGGUGCGAAAGCGUGGGUAGCAAACAGGAUUAGAUACCCUGGUAGUCCACGCCGUAAACGAUGUCGACCAGCCGUUGGGUGCCUAGAGCACUUUGUGGCGAAGUUAACGCGAUAAGUCGACCGCCUGGGGAGUACGGCCGCAAGGUUAAAACUCAAAUGAAUUGACGGGGGCCCGCACAAGCGGUGGAGCAUGUGGUUUAAUUCGAUGCAACGCGAAGAACCUUACCUACCCUUGACAUCUACAGAAGCCGGAAGAGAUUCUGGUGUGCCUUCGGGAACUGUAAGACAGGUGCUGCAUGGCUGUCGUCAGCUCGUGUUGUUGAAAUGUUGGGUUAAGUCUCGUAACGAGCGCAACCCUUGUCCUUAUUUGCCAGCACGUAAUGGUGGGAACUCUAAGGAAACUGCCGGUGACAAACCGG
This 1112-nucleotide ribosomal RNA is filed under the name uncultured bacterium. RNAcentral describes it as "bacterial SSU rRNA". It matches the Rfam family "Bacterial small subunit ribosomal RNA", at positions 58 to 1166 of the family's 1533-position model. The record is from RNAcentral.